Molecule: long non-coding RNA, 1127 nt
Organism: Lingula anatina
Lineage: Eukaryota; Metazoa; Brachiopoda; Lingulata; Lingulida; Lingulidae
Source: RefSeq, a predicted model, not a curated record
UUUUUUUUUUUUUUGAGAUUAGUUUGGAGUCCAAAUCCAUUUUAACCAACUGAAAAGCAGUGGUGCAAGACACUGAGAAUGAAGUUAUACAUUUAGUUUCAUGGCAUGGCAUAGGCAUAGUGGAGUGGGUACCGGUUACACUGAGCAGUGACUAAUGGCAAACAUAUCCUCUUCACUCCCAAUCUCCAUAGCUACCUGCAACAGGGCUUCACCAGUCUCCUAGAAAAGCAAAAUAAAUAGAUAUGAAACAUUUGGCCAUAACGAUGGUAAUUUUUGCGUGCUUCGUGACACUUACUAUGGGAUUAGAGGCACCAAAAGCUCGGAUUCCUAGCAGCAGAAUGUCAGUGGAAAAUGACAGCCCAAAGGAAUCAUUUUACGACUAUGGCGACGAUGCCCUGCCACCACAAGAUCUUGUUACUAGUUACUCCACAGCUGAUUCCGACUCCAACAGUAUAUAUUUGCCAGCUUCACAACUUGCUGGCGAAGGCAGCUAUGACAACUUCAAAGGAAGACCAGAGAAAAGCAUCCCUGCUUUGGUAAAUAAUGACUUGAGUGUCGUUUCUUCCGAUUUGGAAGGGGGAAAUGAAGCGAGAGGUACUUUAGACAAUUUGUUGAAGAUGGAUUUUGUGAUUAAACAGACACAAAACAACAUAGAUGUUACUAAAAGAAUUGAGCGCAUCCUGAGAGAACGCUUGAGAAACAUCGAAAGACUGAGGGGCGCCUUUCUUAAUCGCAGCUUAAAUGGGCACGGAAGAUUUGUACGAAAACGCUACACACAUUGCCCGCCCUUCGGCGGUUGUUUUCACAUAAAACUACAACCAUUCGACAAUCCUGGUUCCAAGGGUCCCAAAAUCCGCUAUGGUUAAAGAUUUGAAUUCUAAGUUAAGGCCGUAUGACUGACAUUCUGUACAGCCAAAACCAUGAUGCAUGCAUUAUUUAUUUCUGAUCUUGCUCCAAAGACAGUGGAAUAAAAUGUUCUGUAUCACUUUGUUAGGUUACUGCUUGGAUACUUUUGUUUAUGUAAAUAGCUUUCUCUUGAAUCUGCCUUGCCGCUCAUGUCAGAGCACAUGUUAGGCCAAGCAGUGGUUGGUGGCAUUUAUGAAAGUAAUAUCAACCUGUUCGCAAAU